Molecule: ribosomal RNA, 496 nt
Filed under: uncultured bacterium
Lineage: Bacteria
Description: partial 16S ribosomal RNA
Rfam family: Bacterial small subunit ribosomal RNA
Source: RNAcentral
AUGAACGCUGGCGGCGUGCCUAAUACCUGCAAGUCGAGCGAACGGACGAGAAGCUUGCUUCUCUGAUGUUAGCGGCGGACGGGUGAGUAACACGUGGAUAACCUACCUAUAAGACUGGGAUAACUUCGGGAAACCGGAGCUAAUACCGGAUAAUAUUUUGAACCGCAUGGUUCAAAAGUGAAAGACGGUCUUGCUGUCACUUAUAGAUGGAUCCGCGCUGCAUUAGCUAGUUGGUAAGGUAACGGCUUACCAAGGCAACGAUGCAUAGCCGACCUGAGAGGGUGAUCGGCCACACUGGAACUGAGACACGGUCCAGACUCCUACGGGAGGCAGCAGUAGGGAAUCUUCCGCAAUGGGCGAAAGCCUGACGGAGCAACGCCGCGUGAGUGAUGAAGGUCUUCGGAUCGUAAAACUCUGUUAUUAGGGAAGAACAUAUGUGUAAGUAACUGUGCACAUCUUGACGGUACCUAAUCAGAAAGCGACGGCUAACUACGUG